GCUCUCAUAAGUCAAGGGAUAGACUGACUCUCUCCUAAAGAGUAAAUACUGGUUCGAGUCCAGUUGGGAGUA
RNAcentral lists this transfer RNA (72 nucleotides) under Crassvirales sp. RNAcentral describes it as "tRNA-Arg". It matches the Rfam family "tRNA". Rfam says of the family: Transfer RNA (tRNA) molecules are approximately 80 nucleotides in length. Their secondary structure includes four short double-helical elements and three loops (D, anti-codon, and T loops). Lineage: Duplodnaviria; Heunggongvirae; Uroviricota; Caudoviricetes; Crassvirales. The record is from RNAcentral.